This 1104-nucleotide long non-coding RNA is filed under the name Equus caballus (horse). Its description in RNAcentral is "lncRNA (ENSECAG00000054484.1)". The record is from RNAcentral. Lineage: Eukaryota; Metazoa; Chordata; Mammalia; Perissodactyla; Equidae.
UUGGGAAUGAGGGGGAUGUCAGGGUAGCGGAAACCACAGGGCUGACAUGAAGAGGGGAAACGGGGGUGGGAGUCAUAUGUAGGAUCUUUCUGUAUUUUCUGUUCCAUUUUUCUGCAAACCUAAAACUGCUCUUAACAAUAAAGUCUAUUAGUACUUUUAAAGUAAAAACAGAAUAGGCUGUGUAACAAAAUGCUUUAAUUUGGAAUUCUAAUAGAAGGAAGAUUUGUCUCUUCUCCUUUGUUCAUUUUUUUAGUCAUUUAUUUAUAUGAGUAUGGAGUCCUGGACAUUUAUUUUAUACUUUGGGUUAUAAUUUCAUAUUGCAUUAUUUUUGCUCUCAAAUUCUUCCAGGUUUGUUUUGGGAGCUUUAUCCCUCUUGCCUCCUUGAUUAUGGGCUGAGCUCAGUCAUCGCUUCUAAAGAAUAGAGCAUGGGAAAGGGGUAAGUUACUUCACAGUGAAGAAACCUGGAAACCCUCCCUAGGCUAGGUGAUCAAGGUCAACAGAACCAGUGACGUCAUAUUGACAGCACACCUCCCUGACACACGGUGUGAUGAGAAGGUGACCUCAACUCUGUGGUCAGCCUCUCCAUCCCAUAACCCCAAUCUAACUAGAGAAAAAAAUCAAAUUGAGAAGCAUCGUAUACAAUACCUGACCAGUACUCCUUAAAGCUGUCAAGGUCCUUAAAAAUGAGGAAAGGCUAAAAAGUUGUCACAAAUCAGAGGAGGCUAAGGAGACACAAUAACUAAAUGUAAUGUGGUGUCCUGGAUGGGACCCUGGAGCAGACAAAGGACAUUAGUGGAAAAACUAGUGAAAUAGGAAUAACGUCUGGAGUUUAGUUAAUAGCAACAUACCAGUGUUGGUUUCUUAGGCGUGACAAAUGUAGCCUGGCAAUGUAAGAUGCUAACAGUAGGGGAAACCAGGUGAGGGGCAGACGGGAACUCUGCACUAUCUUUGCAACUUUCUUGUAAAUCUAAAACUAUUCUAAAAUUGAAAGUUAAAAAGUUAAAAGGUUCUAACUUACCAGGUACUUAUAAUGUACCUAAAAAACAGAAACCAGAAGGGGAAACAUUGCAUGCAGAUCCAGCAGGGGAGGAGGAAAAUGUCUUG